GGAGAGGUGACCGAGUUGGCCGAAGGUGCGCGAUUGGAAAUCGCGUGUACCCUUAACCGGGUACCGAGGGUUCGAAUCCCUCCCUCUCCG
Molecule: transfer RNA, 90 nt
Filed under: Desulfohalobium retbaense DSM 5692
Lineage: Bacteria; Pseudomonadati; Thermodesulfobacteriota; Desulfovibrionia; Desulfovibrionales; Desulfohalobiaceae
Rfam family: tRNA
About the family: Transfer RNA (tRNA) molecules are approximately 80 nucleotides in length.
Source: Rfam by way of RNAcentral